AUACGUAGGUGGCAAGCGUUGUCCGGAAUCAUUGGGCGUAAAGCGCGCGUAGGUGGCUUGUCAGGUCCGAUGUGAAAACCUGGGGCUCAACUCCAGGCCUGCAUCGGAAACCGGCUUGCUAGAGUCUGGGAGAGGAGAGUGGAAUUCCUGGUGUAGCGGUGAAAUGCGUAGAUAUCAGGAGGAACACCGGUAGCGAAGGCGGCUCUCUGGAACAGUACUGACGCUGAGGUGCGAAAGCUAGGGGAGCGAACAGGAUUAGAUACCCUGGUAGUCCUAGCCGUAAACGAUGGACACUAGGUGUCGGGGGUGUCGACUCCCUCGGUGCCGAAGCUAACGCAUUAAGUGUCCCGCCUGGGGAGUACGGCCGCAAGGCUAAA
RNAcentral lists this ribosomal RNA (377 nucleotides) under uncultured bacterium. RNAcentral's name for it is "bacterial SSU rRNA". It matches the Rfam family "Bacterial small subunit ribosomal RNA", at positions 523 to 898 of the family's 1533-position model. The record is from RNAcentral.